This is a long non-coding RNA of Rhipicephalus microplus (southern cattle tick), 353 nucleotides long. RefSeq lists it as uncharacterized. NCBI's taxonomy places the organism in Eukaryota, Metazoa, Arthropoda, Arachnida, Ixodida, Ixodidae. The record is from RefSeq and is a predicted model, not a curated record.
CGCCCCAAGAUCGGGAGUGACGUACAGCAAGGAAUGGUUCUGUUUUCACGUCACUCCUUUACGUUAACCUUGGUAGGCUGACGUCACAUACCAUGCACUCUUCCUCAGAACUUCGAUGAGACAUACCCUGUUUAACGAAACUGACGCAGCUGUUUCGAACGUAACAAAAGUAUGGCUCGUGUUUGCUUCAGAUCAAGAAGGUGCACCUAACCUAUGUAAGAAGGCACGCCACUACGAUAGAUGACUUCAAGAACAGCCCAAGCAACAUUUGAGAAUCACAAGAGUUCGGGAAAUAAAAAAUGGCAUAUUGCCUUCUAUAUAAUAUGUGUAAAAUAAACCUGAAGCACCAAAAA